This is a long non-coding RNA of Coregonus clupeaformis (lake whitefish), 207 nucleotides long. RefSeq lists it as uncharacterized. The transcript has 3 exons. Lineage: Eukaryota; Metazoa; Chordata; Actinopteri; Salmoniformes; Salmonidae. The record is from RefSeq and is a predicted model, not a curated record.
CUUCUCAGUGCUGCCUUUGCUCUGGGAGACGCAAUUUCAUCAGGAAUCCGCUUGUGUCCCUCCGGUUGGACUGACUAUGGAUCACGCUGCUUCAUGUUUGUCAAGACUGCAAGGAACUGGCCUGAAGCAGAGCGGCAUUGUAUGUCCCUUGGCGCAAACCUGGCGUCUGUACAUAGCUCUGAGGAGAAUCAAUUUCUACAGAUGGUG